UCUUUUAGAUUUCCUUCGGGGAAGAAGAAAUUGUGACUGAGUGGCGGACGGGUGAGUAACGCGUGGGCAACCUGCCCCAUACAGGGGGAUAACAGCCGGAAACGGCUGCUAAAACCGCAUAAGCGCACAAGGGCCGCAUGGCCUGGUGUGAAAAACUCCGGUGGUAUGGGAUGGGCCCGCGUCUGAUUAGCUAGUUGGCGGGGGAGAGGCCCACCAAGGCGACGAUCAGUAGCCGACCUGAGAGGGUGGCCGGCCACAUUGGGACUGAGACACGGCCCAAACUCCUACGGGAGGCAGCAGUGGGGAAUAUUGCACAAUGGGGGAAACCCUGAUGCAGCGACGCCGCGUGAGCGAAGAAGUAUUUCGGUAUGUAAAGCUCUAUCAGCAGGGAAGAAAAAUGACGGUACCUGAGUAAGAAGCACCGGCUAAAUACGUGCCAGCAGCCGCGGUAAUACGUAUGGUGCAAGCGUUAUCCGGAUUUACUGGGUGUAAAGGGAGCGCAGGCGGUGCGGCAAGUCUGAUGUGAAAGCCCGGGGCUCAACCCCGGGACUGCAUUGGAAACUACCGAACUAGAGUGUCGGAGAGGUAAGUGGAAUUCCUAGUGUAGCGGUGAAAUGCGUAGAUAUUAAGAGGAACACCAGUGGCGAAGGCGGCUUACUGGACGAUAACUGACGCU
This 676-nucleotide ribosomal RNA is filed under the name uncultured bacterium. Its description in RNAcentral is "bacterial SSU rRNA". It matches the Rfam family "Bacterial small subunit ribosomal RNA", at positions 62 to 747 of the family's 1533-position model. The record is from RNAcentral.